UGUGCAGCUGCACCUUAGGGAGAACUGCACGAGUAUAUUUUUAGUUUUUAUGUGAUGACGGCCGUUCCCAGAAGCGUUUCUUCACUGGAGCAGAUGUACGAAUACAGCUACCGAAACAUAUAAAAAUGGUACACAAACCGUCGACGAUGACUGCUGACCGCUUUCGUCGCAAGAUUUGCCGCGAGUGAAACAGUUGUGCAACGCCUACAAGAUUGCAAAACUGCAUCGUCCUGGCCUUGUAUCGCUAAUCAGACACAUACGUGGUUCCCUUGGCGCCUUCCCAACCACACGAGGGAACCAGAGCAGCACGGCCGGCUUAAAAAAAGGGGCGGAUCGACGACCAGGCUUGCAGUUCGCUAGCAGUGCAUCUUGAGCCCACAACUAAGUUAAAUUGUAACUCCCAAACGACUGCAAUGGAAGCCACCAAACAUCUCAGAGAAAAAUCAGCGUUGGAGAAAACCCAAGGGGCGACAGCACAAUAAAAUAUUUCUUUAGAAGUUCCAGAAGGUUGCAGCACCUCCAAUAUGACGCUAGGCAACGCCUUCUUCUGAAGAGGCUUCACGUGUCGCAAAUUUCCUGGUACCAAAUUGUCUUAUGUAGAGAACACUCUGGCCUCGCUUCUCGCAUGGAAUCUAAAGCCUCCAAAGAGCCCAAGUUGCACAUCUCAUAGCAAAACACAAGUGUUCUGCUUUUGUGACCCUCGACAUAUUUAUGUUCAUUCAUGUUUGUUACAUUAGUCUUCUGAAGAGUCCAAUUCGGUUUUCUCAAACGAGCAUACAAAUGUGUUUGUGAGCAUUGACAUCUGUGUUCCAAUUUUAUUUGUGUUGAUCAUGUUGGUCGUCUGAAAACGGCUGGCUCAAACCAACAUACAAGUGUUGCACUUUGCGGUUCUUCACUUUGUUUUUAUGGUAAUUAUUAAUAGAAUUUCUUUAAUAUUUCAUUUUUAAGUAAAUUCAGUUUCAUGCUAAACGACCCAGUUUUGUCAAGAACUGUUCCAUUAUGGCACAUCGUUUCAAGUAUGCUUAAUAUGCAAAAGUAGGUACAAUGAAAAAUUUUUUUACAUUUGCUUUCUUACAUACAACUCGGUCAUUCUACAUCAAAUGAACCAUCGUUUCUUUUUGCCAUCAUAGAUAUGGUUGACAAAAUUUGCCUACGUUUGUUGAAGUUCUGAACUAUUUCUCCCCAUUUAGUUUUACUCAUAGUAAUUUUCCACUAUUUUGGCAAGAUUUAAUUGUUCUUGCCCAGCUAAGCUAGAAGCACUGAUCAGCGUUUCUUUUCGAAGAGAAAUUUUGCGAUCCAGAUAUUCAGAUGGUGUUCAUGUCAAGCAAGUGAAGCGGUGUAACUGCCAAAAUUGCAAAGUUUGAAUUAUUUUCUCAGAACGCAGGGAAACCCACAAGGCACAAAAUAAAUAUAAAAUUGCAGCCUGGUUGACAUAGUAUAGCUACAAAAUAUUUGAAGCCUUGGUGGUUCAGUCGAUCGUCUAAAAAGCUGUAAAGUUCACGUUUUUCGCAAAAGGCUUCAUGUUCAAGGUAAAAGAGAUUUCCUUUGGUCUUCACCGUAAAAGUAUGUGAUACGUCAUUACACAACCUUACGUGUCUGCAACGCAUAUGACAAGUUACAAACAAGUAUUAUUGUUUAAAUUCAAAAAAAAUAUUUUAAAUAGUUCUGUUGCGGAUCCCGCAUACUGCGUAAUUAUAUGAAGCCUUGUCGUCUAGCAAGGAGAGACUGUU
This is a long non-coding RNA of Dermacentor albipictus, 1730 nucleotides long. RefSeq lists it as uncharacterized. The record is from RefSeq and is a predicted model, not a curated record. Lineage: Eukaryota; Metazoa; Arthropoda; Arachnida; Ixodida; Ixodidae.